Molecule: long non-coding RNA, 9756 nt
Filed under: Nicotiana tabacum (common tobacco)
Lineage: Eukaryota; Viridiplantae; Streptophyta; Magnoliopsida; Solanales; Solanaceae
Description: long non-coding RNA (NTAB_LNC009825)
Source: RNAcentral
AGAGACAUUGAAACGACGCCCACCCAGCCCCGAUUCUGCUCGCCCAAACUCGUCCAAACUCGUUUGAGUUUCAGACGAGUUUCAUCCCUAAACGCAUUGCACAUGGCCCUUUCUUUCAUCUCUCCAACGUGGCAUAACUGUUCUCUGACAGAAUAUUUUCAGCAUUACGCCAUUCUCACGCGCUUUUGAUUUCUUGGGACAAAUCUCGGGUAAAUGGGAGCGGUUGGAUGUGAGAAAUCACAUCCACUCUUUCCAUUUGUCCGGAUUUCGUUCUAUGUGAGAUUGGGGUUGUUUUUUUUGGAUUUGGGAUUAAAUUUGGGGGAUUUAUUGGGAAGGAAGAGAGAAAGUUCGAGACUCCCCUAUAUAUGGGGACUUCUCUUCAGAGGUAACGGGGGUUUUUGGAGAGGAGAGAUCUAAGAUUUUUCGGGAUUUUAACAAUUGAGAGCUCUUCUGUAAGGAGAAUUCUUGAGAGAAAUUGAAGAAUUUUUUUUCUGGUUGUUUCUUUCUUUCUUUAUAAAAUCAAAAACGGAAAAAAGGAGAGUUUCUUGUUACUUGUUUUCAACUAUGAAUCUGGGUUUAAAAUGGAAGUGAUCUGAUUUAUUGUUUCGAACUCGCCGGAGCUGAGGUUGUUCUGUUCGUGGUUCCCUUUUCAUUUUUCGCGUUUUUCUGUUCAGACUGUUCGUUGUUUCCCCUCGCUUGAAGUCAAAAUCUUUUAGUUGAUUGAUAUUUCUGAUUUCAGGUUCAUUUCUUCUCCAUUUUUCUAUUACUCGUGAUUUUGUGAGAGGCCCUGUUUGACACUUUCGUGUGCUUGAAUGCCAUUUCAAUUGUCAUAAGUUGCUAAUUCAGUUUUGUUUUAUGUCGUGGAAUUUUGAAUUUUGCUAAGAAUGAACUUAAGAGUUUGACAUGGAUCGAGUCAAAGAAUGCUUAAGUUGCUCCGUCUGAUGGUUCUGAUUUAUGUUUUUGCCCUGUUGUUAUUAUAUUUAGUCUUUAACUUGUUCAGAUGUUGCCUGUUGGAUUUGGUUUUAUUAAUGGUUCAGUCGGAUAGUGAAUAGAGAGAGUAAUUGAGUUUGUUUUUCGGAAGAAAAAAAAUGGAGCAAAUUAGUUGAGUUCAUUCGGAUAAUGUAUAAGAUUGGUUUAAACUUGUUGCGUAAAAGACAGAUUUUGGUAAAGGCGGUAUGCUAAAUAGUUCAUAAAUUUGGAAGUAAUGACAUUAAUUCUUGUUAAGGUGUAGUGUAUUUUUAAGUAGUGAGUCAUGUCAAAAAGUAAAAGGUAAAAGAAAGCAAAAGAAAGAGGUUGUAACGUUGGUUAAGAUUAGUGAAUAAAGUGCUUGCUUUAUUUAAUUUUGCAAUCCAGAAAUUACAUUUAUUGCUUUUAAAUGAGAAAAUUUUGGACUUUUCUUAAGUUUGACUGCCUCUUUUUGUUUUCUAUUUUAUUCCUUUCUUUAUUUCCUAUUUUUACUUGAAAAUAAAUAAAUUGAUAUAUACUUCUAUUUUGGAAUAAUUAAACGUAUAAACCAUGUUUAGCAAUUCCCUUUCCCUUGUUGUUAGCUGGAUAUCUCGAAUUGGAAGGAGUAUUUUUUUUUUGAUAAAAUUAACGUAGGUCACUAUUUGUCUCGUUUGAUUUUGGACUGUUCAUCAGAUCAUUGUAGGUUGGGUUGCAACAUUAGCUUUAAUUUUAAGUAUUUUUUGUGUGUAAAUAACUUCAUGAUAGCUGAAGCCAUACAUUUCUUCCGAUAAUAUCUUAUUCAUAAUCAAUAACCUCAAUUAUCUCAAAGUAGCUUUUUUAGGAAAUAAUUCAAUCGUAGCUUGCUUUAAGCACGUAAUAAAAAUCAUCACAAUUACAGGUAUUGUUCUCGUGGUAUAGUUGUGAUACUUAAUUUCAAAUUAGUUUUAAAAAUAAAUAUCCAUAGUUCACUUAGUUGAAUGCUUUUCUUUUAAUAAAAUUGAGGUGUGCUAUCCAAUCACCUAGUCUAUGGCCCUCACAUCGAUAUUUUAACUAGUGUAGAAAAUGCCUCGAACUUUCAUAGUUUGCUUUAGGCACGUUAAUUAAAUAAUUGUCAUAACUACGGGUAUGGUUCCCGUGACGUAGUUGUGAUGCUUAAUUUCUAAAAUCUGAGGGGUACAUUUAUGUGACCCGGCCACAAUUUAAUCUUGUUAAUAAAACAAAUACGUUGUAGAUCGUGGGUACGGUUCCCGUGAUACAAUUCACAAUGUGUAACCAAGUAACUAGUUGUAUGGCAAUUGGAUUAUUAAAAGCGGUUAAAAGGGAUAAAAUGCACAUAGGUUUCAAAAAAUAUUUUAAAAUCAGAUAAAUAGGCCAAUAAUAAUAGUUGAGCGACCGUGCUAGACCACGGAACCCGGGAAUGCCUAACACCUUCUCCCGAGUUAAUAAAAUUUCUUACCCGGAUUUCUGUGUUCGCAGACCAUAAAUAAGAGUCAACUUCCUCGAUUCGGGAUUUUAAACCGGUGACUUGGGACACCAUAAAUUAUCCCAAGUGGCGACUCUAAUUUUUAAAUAAAAUAAUCCUGGUUCGAUUGUGACUUAAAUUGGAAAAAACUCCCUUAUACCCUUUUCGGGUGUGAAAAAGGAGGUGUGACACUCCGAUCCGCCGUUACGUGUUAUCGCAAUUGACGUGUGUUAGAGGGAUUGUCAAGAGAAUUGACUCAGGUAUGUUAAGGCCAUCUCUUCUUUCUUUUGGCAUGAUCCAUACGAUACAAUGAAAAAUGCACAAUUCCCAUAAAUGACUCUAUUCAUAAAAAUAUUAGAGAUGCUUAUGUUCUUGAUUCCCCAUGUGUCAUAUUAUUCUAUCUUCUGUUCAUGGGUCUCAGAAAAAUACGUAAGUUGAAAAAGUUUACUUCAUGAUAUUAUUUAAGGGCAUAAUGGUCUUACGACAUUCCAAGUGAUUUUAUUGACAUACUUUUCAUACAUUGCAUCCAUAUACAAUGAUCCAUGACCAGAUGGCGUUAUAUACGCGUAUGUAUAUGGGAUAUGGGAAAAUGUUACAGCGUUAUAUACGCACCACCACCUGAUCAACUGGUAUAUGUUGAUGAUUUGCCCACAGUGGCCGAGAUGAUAUGAUAGGAUGCCCUCAGAGGCUUGAUGAUGUUAUUAACACAUACACCCAUGCAUGAUAUGACAUUUAUACUCAUAUGCACGACAUUAUAAAUAAAUGAAAUGAUUUACAGAGUUAUGCAAACGUACAUGUCUAGUCUUUUACUCCAUGUUUCUCUCAUGUCUAUUAUUUACUGAUUUUCAUUCCUUACAUACUCGGUACAUUAUUUGUACUGACGUCCCUUUUUCCCGGGGAUGUUGCGUUUUAUGCCCGCAUGUCCCGAUAGACAGGUCGAGAGCCCUCCAAGUAGGCUAUCAGCUCAGCGGAAGAUGUUGGUGCGCUCCAUUACUUCAGAGUUGCUUGUUUGGUUAGUAUGAUUUAGAUGUGUAUUCUUAGAGGCUUGUAGAUAAAUGUCAUGUACGUAAAAGAUUGUAUGGCCUUGUCGGCCUAUGUUCAGUGUAUGAGUGGUUAUUUUGGCCUUAUAGACCCGUAUGUCUUAUGUAUAAGUGGGUUUCACAUGUUGUAUUUUACUUAUCUCAUUGCAACCUUCUAGUUUAGUUAUCCAUGAUAGUAUGACGUGAAAAGAUACGUUAUGUAGGUACUCGGUUGAGUAAAGUACCGGGUGCCCGUCGCGGCCCAUCGGUUUGGGUCGUGACAGAAGUGGUAUCAGAGCAGUUUUGUCCUAGGGAGUCUACAAGCCGUGUCUAAUAGAGUCUUGUUUAUGGGUGUGUCGUGCACCACACUUAUAAGCAGGAGGCUACAAGAUAUUUAAGAUUGUCACUCUUUCUUCAUACUCUAGAUCGUGUGGUAGAGCUCGGUUGUAAGAACUCAAUUUCCUAAACUCUAUCUAAUUCGUAAUACAACAAUAGAUGCAUCCAAAAAGACGGUUGGUAACAGAGGCACGUACAAAUGGCCACACCCAUCUCAUUUAUGUCUUAUGUAAGUUAACAGAAGUAGUAUAAGAGAAGGACGGGAUAUCAGAAUCCGGCUGAGUUUAGAGUAACCCAAAGUGGUUAAUGAAUUGUUUGCGUCAAUUGACAUUUCUGAAGGAUAGUGCAAAUAUGCUAAUAGAUCUCCUUGUGAGACACCGAGAUAGUGCACUCUAGAAUAUUACAAUUAGAUGUGAAUACUAUCAUGAUCAAAAAAGAAGAAGAUAGGCACUGAAAGCCUGGAAGAGAUAAAUAUUACCUUAGUGUGACUCUCGUUCCUAGUAGAGCAAGGAUGUUGAGCCACCCGAAGAGCCGAUAAAUGAAGCAAGGGGAGCUAAAAGCAAAAGAAUGUCUUGUUGAAAUUUUCACAAGAAAGGGAUAGGCAGAAAUUUCAGCAGAGAAAUGAGAAGAGAGAUAAAGAAGAAUUAUGAGUAAGAUGUGAUACAUGGAUGACAACGGUAGAUCAAAAAGAUCACGGUAUUAUCGGGUCCAUAGUCAGGUGAAAAAAAACACUAAAGGUGACAUGCCUUGAGACAACAAAAGAAUAUAAGCCAUAAAGUCAUAUCCUUUUUCGAGAAAUAAGUUCAUGACUCUAACGUAAUUGCCAAUAGGAAGAAUCUAGACCCCAAAAUAAUAGAAAUCAAUACGGGCUAGUGAGCAAAAUAAACUAAACACCAAUUAAGGAUUUAGUGAUUUGAUAAUAGCCAGCAUCAUGAGAAUUUAAGAUUUUGUUCCGGCGAUAGUAGAAUGGACAACAGAAGAAGAUUCAGGAGAAAUUUAGAGAAUGGUCAUUCAGGAAGACGCUUCCCUAAAGCAAAUAAUGUGAGCAAAGUUAAGCUUAAGGGACUGUAUGUACUAGUUACAUUAAGUGUCACCCUCGCGAGUAAGAAAUUUUGUUAUCCUUGGCACAGAAGAAUUACCGCAAGGUGAGUAAGGGUCAUCGAUGACGUGAGAAGACGCCAAAGAUGAAGAGGAAAGACAUCUAUAGGUAGAUCAUCGUAGUGUUAAAUAUUAGUACUCCCCUAAAAGGGGGAAUAUGGAAUGACGUGGCACUAAGUCAGAAUUAAGUGGUUUUAGUAAUUAUGGAAUAGUAAAGGAAGAAUGUGAUAAAAUGAAAGAGGGAUGAAAUUGCAUUUAUUCAAAGCCUACAGAUAUGCUAUGAUUCCAGAACAUUAUGCAAGCACGAUGUCAAGGAGAGGAAGUAUGGGUUCCUGCCCGAGGUAUUAUUGAUUGAUAAGGAGCCAGUGCGAGACGAAAGUUAAGAUAAAGGAAAUAAUGUAAGAAAGAUUACGCGGAAUAUUGAUAUGAGAAUGGGCCAACGAGUAGUUAGUAGUUAAUUCAGGAAGAGCGUAGUUAUGGCUAGACAAUAGGAUAUAGACAAAUCAGCAGAUCGUACGAGAUAAACAUAGUAAACCCCAACAUAAUGAAUUCAGUCUCGCAGUUAUGAUAUUGUAAUCUUUGAGAAAUAUUCAGAUAGCAAUGGGGUAGUUAAAGGUACCAUAUGAGUGUUAGAGGAAUAAAAGAAAGUACAAUUGGGAAGAAAGUCAAAAUAUCAGUUCAGAAGCAACCCCACAAGCACAAGGGCAUGGAGGUAAGUAACUACGGAUAAGUAUAGGAAAGGAAAGACAUUAAGAGGUCCGUCGAGUAUACAGUGUAAUAAGCUCAUAGCUUUACAAGAGUUAGAGGGCCCUCCCUAAGCACUACAAUGAAAGACUAUCUAAGGAAAAUAAGGAAGAAGACUUCAGCCUAAACUCAAUCACCUAAAGAGGAAAUGGUCUUAUAACAAUAGUCUCAAAACAAUAUUGUAUGCACUCUAUAAGAAAGUGGAACCUACUGUGGCUAAUGAACGUGGAGUAAAAUCAGAAGUGAUAUUCAAGGUCAUAUGAAUUAUAUGAAAUUCUAAUAUGUGUGGGCACUAAGAUAAUCUAGUAUGGAGGCAACAAGGGGGUAGAAAGACUAGGAAAAGUAAUAGCUUACGUUUAAAGAAAGCUAAGAUGGAACGAACAGAAUUAAUCGAUCAAUGAUCCAGAGUUGGUUGCAUUAUGAACGCACUUAAGCGUUCAGAUUAUUAUCCAUGCAACAUAUAUAUCGACAAUCAUACAGUCGUAGAAGGUUCCGGUAUAAGUUAAAAGGACGAAUUGAGCCCGAGUCAUAAACAAAAGAUUAAAUUGUUAAAGAAUUUUAUCAUGGAUAUUCCAUAGUGCCAUGAAAGGCUAAAAGUAAUAACUAACACCAUGAGCCACUGAUCGAAGAUAGCUUAAGCCUACAAUAAAAGUUGAGCAGAGGAAAGAGGAAACUAAAGAGUUACAUCAACUAAGUAAAUCAGGAGUUUGAUUAUUGAACCCGGAAAAUUAUAGGAAUAACAUAGCAGAAUCACUCUUAAUAUUAGAGGUACAAGAGGGACAGUACAAUAGCCAUAUUUUAUAAUGGCUCUAUGAUAAAACCAGUUAAAAGAGUACCAGCCUCAUAAGAAGUUAGUAUGAAGCUCUCACCGAAUCAUGUAAAGAGGUGCAAGGAUUAUAAUAGAAGUUCAAGUUGUGGAUGUGAAUUAUACCUAUGUCGAAGGGAGCUUAUGAAAGGAAUAGAAGAUAUGAUGCAAGAUUUUAAGGUAAGUAAGAUAAAGUUGAACAACUUAUGAGAUAAUCAAAUGCAGAAGGUUGUGAAUUGUCCAUACUUCGGACAAAAGGCCACAAGUACUGAGCCUCGGCAUCCAGGAAUGAUAGCGGCGUCGAUAGUGGCAUAUCUUCCAGCCUAUGGUUUUUAGGUAUCAAGAGGCCUAGUCAAGAGAGUAAAGAAGAGUUAGAGACAAUGUGAUCCCUCGCUUGAUGUUCCAGAAUAACAUAAGAAAAUCUAUGGGGCAAACAAGUUGAAGGAAGGUUGCAAGUAGUAUAAAUGGAUAUGUAUAGGUCGCAAGCUAAAGUAUGGUAGAGAAACAAGAUUGUAGGAAGAGAGGAGUAAGGAUAAGAAAGGACGAUUGAGGAGGUGACGAGAACGGAUAAGACCUCGGGAUUAAGCCCACGAAAAUGAGAGAGAGCUGAUGGGUUCUCUAAAUUAUAUAAAGCUCAGUAUAGACUGAAUAAGUUCAAAGGAGUCUAUGAUUAGUAGAAUUUAGAAGAAAUGGAAUGCUGACCUAGUAAUAAAAAUAAAGGUGUAAUUGUGACAGAUAAAAGAUGACGUUUGGGCCUUCGAUUGAGUAAUGAUUUGAAAAAAGGGAUUCAUGAAUUGUACAAGAUUAAUUUACCCACGUAAGGUGAAUCAUAUUGGGAUGCUAUGAAAUACGGUUAUGGAAGUAUAGUAUUGCCCCUAGGUGGGUCAGGAAAAUCACUUCAAAUGUUCCUCAAUGCAACGUGAGCCCUAGUGAUAACGUAAGAAGUUGCAAGUUAUCAGUGGUAAAUUGUAGAUUAAUAUUGAGGUGAAUCAACAAUGGAUAGACAAAAGUCACAAAGUAUAAGAUGAGAUUAGGUUGUCAUUCUUAAGAUGAAUAGUAUUGAGGGAGCAUUAAAGGACUUGAAUUUAUACAUAUGGGAUAAGCAACGAAAGUAACUGGGAGUUUGGUAGCAGACCUUAGUAAGGAUAAAUCAAGGUAAAAGUUAUGGUAUAGUAUGACCUACCUAUGUGCAGUAAAGUCAUAUGGGUUGACAAACGAAAUAAGGUAUAGCAAUAUUCGUGAGUUCAACAAAGUACCCAACGAAGAACUUCAGUAUACCUACAGAUGCCCGGGGGGACAUUUAAUCAAGCUCUGUAUAUGUUCCCAAAGCGAGGCCUAUAGAUGGCACACAUACAAGGAAAAAGUCGUACAGGCUGCAUGAUAGAAGGUAACAGGAGUUACGAGAUUAGAAGAAUUCUGACCACAGUUCGUGGUGUGAUAAAGAGAUCUAUAGGUGAGAAUACCCUGGACUUUGGAUUUAAUCCAAGAACAGUUGUCUGAAUGAAAAGGAGAAUAUUAGAGUAUUCGCAAGAGCUAUAGGUUAGGGGAAUGAUAAGUGCAUCCGUCAACAUUCGAGGACGAAUGUUCCAAAGGGGAGAAUAAUGUUACACCCUAUGUUUUCGUACGUAAAAGUACGGUAUAAGUAAAUUGAUGAAAGCUCGGAAAUAAAAUAUUACAUCUCGCAUUUUCGUACGUUAAAAUUUCGUCAUAAGUUAAUCAACGUAAGUUCGGGAAUUGGAUUAUUUUGAGAUUAUAAGCAUUAUGCUAUUUUAAACAAGUGAUGAGUAAAUUCGUGAAGUUUAGAGGGUAAGCAAGUCGAAGAAAAUAAAUUUCAUCGAGGUUCGACAUUUUGGGAUAAAAUACAGACCGAGCUAAAAUACCCGGUAUUUAUAGACUAGUACCAUACAAGGUACCACAUGACCAUGAUAGUAAGGUGUAUAAGGUGUAUUAAAAGUGAGUAGUAAUAAGUAAUUUGCGAUAAUUCUUAAUUAUAAGAUAAUCCGGUAAUUAUUGAUUUUAAGGUGACAUUAAGAGAGCCUUUUUGUAGCUUAGUCACUAGAAAAGUGGGCCCACAUCUUUGUAUAAGAAAUAAUAAGCUAAAGAGUCGUAAACUUAAGUCUUAUGACUCUUAAAGAACGUGAGUCAUAUAACUCACGUUAUCAUCCAGAUCUGAAAUCACGCUAUCAUUUUUAAGUUAAGAGUCUUAUGACUCUUAAAGAACUUCAUCACAUUUUUUGGUUCAAUUAAUAUGCAUAUAUCGCAUAAGCAACGCAAAUACUUUCAACAAUUCAAAUCAAAGUGAGAUUUUGCAAUUAUAACAGAAUAUGGUGCAAUUUUUCUCAAGAAUAUCAUACGAAUUUUCAUCUACUCCGAUCCGCCGUUACGUGUUAUCGCAAUUAACGUGUGUUAGAGGGAUUGUAAAGAGAAUUGGCUCAGGUAUAUUAAGGCCAUCCCUUCUUUCUUUUGGCAUAUUCCAUAUGAUACAAUGAAAAAUGCACAAUUCCCAUAAAUGACUCCAUUCAUAGAAAUAUUAGAGAUGUUUAUGUUCUUAAUUCCCCAUGUGUCAUAUUAUUCUAUCAUCUGUUCAUGGAUCUCAAAAAAAUACGUAAGUUGAAAAAGUUUACUUUAUGAUAUUAUUCAAAAGUAUAAUGGUCUUAUGACAUUCCAAGAGAUUUUACUGACAUACUUUUCAUACAUUGCAUUCAUAUACAUUGACCCAUGCAUGGGUGUAUGUGUUAAUAACAUCAUCAAGCCNNNNNNNNNNNNNNNNNNNNNNNNNUAUAUAUAUAUAUAUAUAUAUGUAUAUGGGAUAUGGGAAAAAGCUACGGCGUUAUAUAUGCACCACUACCUGAUCAGUUGGUAUAUGUUGAUGAUUUGCCCACAAUGGCCGAGAUGAUAUGAUGGGAUGUCCUCAGAGGCUUGAUGAUGUUAUUAACACAUACAGCCAUGCAUGGUAUGACAUUUAUACCCAUAUGCAUGACAUUAUAUAAAAAAAAUGAAAUGAUUUACAGAGUUAUGAAAACGUACAUGUGCAGUCUUUUACUCCAUGUUUCUCUCAUGUCUAUUAUUUACUAAUUUUCAUUCUUUACAUACUCGGUGCAUUAUUUGUACUGAUGUCCCUUUUGCCUGGGGGCGCUGCGUUUCAUGCCUGCAGGUCCCGAUAGACAGGUCGAGAGCCCUCCAAGUAGGCUAUCAGCUCAGUGGAAGAUGUUGGUGCGCUCCAUUACUUCGGAGUUGCUUGUUUGGUUAGUAUGAUUUAGACGUGUAUUAUUAGAGACUUGUAGACAAAUGUCAUAUACAUAAAAGAUUGUAUGGACUUGUCGGCCUAUGUUCAGUGUACGAGUGGU